UUAAGGUUUCUUCAUUUUCGUUUAGAAUUUUUCUGGAAUUUUUGUUGUUGAAGGUUGAUGGAUAUGAUAUGAAGAUGAAGAAGAGGAAAAG
This 91-nucleotide microRNA precursor is filed under the name Medicago truncatula (barrel medic). RNAcentral describes it as "MIR5298 microRNA precursor family". It matches the Rfam family "MIR5298 microRNA precursor family". Lineage: Eukaryota; Viridiplantae; Streptophyta; Magnoliopsida; Fabales; Fabaceae. The record is from Rfam by way of RNAcentral.